GAGUAAGUCUUUCACGACCAGCUCCCCUUUAACCCCCCAGGACAGGAAUGUAGCAAGGGUAUUUGGGUUGAGCGGUGCGAUGAAAGUAGCUUACUCUC
Molecule: signal recognition particle RNA, 98 nt
Filed under: uncultured Mucinivorans sp.
Lineage: Bacteria; Pseudomonadati; Bacteroidota; Bacteroidia; Bacteroidales; Rikenellaceae
Description: Bacteroidales small SRP
Rfam family: Bacteroidales small SRP
About the family: The non-coding component of the signal recognition particle in Bacteroides
Source: RNAcentral